UACGGAGGGUGCGAGCGUUGUCCGGAAUCAUUGGGCGUAAAGGGCGCGUAGGUGGCCCGGUCAGUCAGUGGUGAAAGCGCGGGGCUCAACUCCGCGUCGGCCAUUGAUACUGCUGGGCUGGAGCACUGUAGAGGCAGGCGGAAUUCCGGGUGUAGCGGUGGAAUGCGUAGAGAUCCGGAGGAAUACCAGUGGCGCAAGCGGCGCUCUGGGUCGAGCCUGACACUGAGACGCGAAGGCAUGGGGAGCGAACGGG
This 253-nucleotide ribosomal RNA is filed under the name uncultured prokaryote. RNAcentral describes it as "partial 16S ribosomal RNA". It matches the Rfam family "Bacterial small subunit ribosomal RNA", at positions 524 to 776 of the family's 1533-position model. The record is from RNAcentral.